UACGUAGGGUGCAAGCGUUGUCCGGAGUUAUUGGGCGUAAAGAGCUCGUAGGCGGUCUGUCGCGUCUGCUGUGAAAACUCAGGGCUUAACCCUGAGCUUGCAGUGGGUACGGGCAGACUAGAGUGCGGUAGGGGAGACUGGAAUUCCUGGUGUAGCGGUGAAAUGCGCAGAUAUCAGGAGGAACACCGAUGGCGAAGGCAGUGGUCUGGGCCGAUACUGACGCUGAGGAGCGAAAGCGUGGGGAGCGAACAGG
RNAcentral lists this ribosomal RNA (253 nucleotides) under uncultured bacterium. RNAcentral's name for it is "partial 16S ribosomal RNA". It matches the Rfam family "Bacterial small subunit ribosomal RNA", at positions 524 to 776 of the family's 1533-position model. The record is from RNAcentral.